CCUACGGGAGGCAGCAGUAGGGAAUUUUCGGCAAUGGGGGGAACCCUGACCGAGCAACGCCGCGUGAAGGAAGAAGGAAUUCGUUCUGUAAACUUCUGUUAUAAAGGAAGAAAGACGGAUGGAGGACAUGACAUACGAGUGACGGUACUUUAUGAGAAAGCCACGGCUAACUACGUGCCAGCAGCCGCGGUAAUACGUGGGCGGCAAGCGUUAUCCGGAAUUAUGGGGCGUCAGGAGGGAGCAGGGGGCAGCAACGGACUGUGGUAAAAGACUGAAGCUUAACUUCAGUAAGCCAUGGAAACCGGGCAGCUAGAGUGCAGGAGAGGAUCGUGGAAUUCCAUGUGUAGCGGUGAAAUGCGUAGAUAUAUGGAGGAACACCAGUGGCGAAGGCGACGAUCUGGCCUGCAACUGACGCUCAGUCCCGAAAGCGUGGGGAGCAAAUAGGAUUAGAUACCCGAGUAGUC
This 464-nucleotide ribosomal RNA is filed under the name uncultured bacterium. RNAcentral describes it as "partial 16S ribosomal RNA". It matches the Rfam family "Bacterial small subunit ribosomal RNA", at positions 338 to 795 of the family's 1533-position model. The record is from RNAcentral.